AUACGUAGGGUGCGAGCGUUGUCCGGAAUUACUGGGCGUAAAGAGCUCGUAGGUGGUUUGUCGCGUCGUCUGUGAAAUUCCGGGGCUUAACUCCGGGCGUGCAGGCGAUACGGGCGUAACUUGAGUACUGUAGGGGAGACUGGAAUUCCUGGUGUAGCGGUGAAAUGCGCAGAUAUCAGGAGGAACACCGGUGGCGAAGGCGGGUCUCUGGGAAGUAACCGACGCUGAGGAGCGAAAGCAUGGGUAGCGAACAGGAUUAGAUACCCUGGUAGUCCAUGCCGUAAACGGUGGGCGCUAGGUGUAGGGGUCUUCCACGACUUCUGUGCCGUAGCUAACGCAUUAAGCGCCCCGCCUGGGGAGUACGGCCGCAAGGCUAAAACUCAAAGGAAUUGACGGGG
Molecule: ribosomal RNA, 398 nt
Filed under: uncultured bacterium
Lineage: Bacteria
Description: partial 16S ribosomal RNA
Rfam family: Bacterial small subunit ribosomal RNA
Source: RNAcentral